RNAcentral lists this long non-coding RNA (659 nucleotides) under Setaria viridis. RNAcentral describes it as "long non-coding RNA (SVIR_LNC009418)". Lineage: Eukaryota; Viridiplantae; Streptophyta; Magnoliopsida; Poales; Poaceae. The record is from RNAcentral.
UAGAGUUUUGUUGGCUUGCAACUUUAUCAUGAAGUUAAGUUGUCUAAGUCAUUGUUAGCUUGCAACUUUAUCAUGAAGGAAGUUGUAUAGUCUUGUGCUUAAAAAUUUGCAUCUCUGACUCAUGCUUGCACUUUAUCAUAGACACUGAAGCCCAUGUCUCUUUUGUAAGGAUACUUUUGGAGAGAGAGGUCACAGCACAUGUGGAGCUUUAUUUGGUGGACGGAUGGAUGGGAUGUUACUAGCUUCUAGUGUAGAAGUCUAGUUUGUGGAUGUGGAGUGUACGUGAUCCUUAUCCUGAAAGUAUGAAGCAUAUUCCACAAGGGUCACAACAAUUUGGCAAAGCUCAACGUGAUAGCAAGCAGCAUAUGUAUACAAGUUUUUCCAUAAGAUCAACAUAUGGCUUUGGUAGGAUGGAGGCAUAUCAUUGAGGAGCUAGCUAGGUCAUUGUUUUUUUACAAGAUAAAUUUCCGAAGUACUUUGGACAUUGAGAGCAAGGUUCAUUUUAUCAUGCCAUAUCUCAAACAUCAACAACCUAGGUAGCACGCUUUCCUAAAGAUAUAGGCUCACAAGAAAAUAGGUGCAAGCAAGAAAUAUAGAACAUGUAUGCCAACCAUAAGGAGCAUGAUUUCAACCAAGGUUCAUUUUAAUUCUAAGUUUAA